This 91-nucleotide transfer RNA is filed under the name Aidingimonas halophila. RNAcentral describes it as "tRNA-Met". Lineage: Bacteria; Pseudomonadati; Pseudomonadota; Gammaproteobacteria; Oceanospirillales; Halomonadaceae. The record is from RNAcentral.
CCGGCAAUGGAUCGGUAUCGAUUGCGAUCACAUAGGUCGUUUCGGCAGAGCGUGCCCGUUGCAGUGCUUGUUCGAGUUCGGCGAUGCCGGU